Molecule: ribosomal RNA, 659 nt
Filed under: uncultured fungus
Lineage: Eukaryota; Fungi
Description: eukaryotic LSU rRNA
Rfam family: Eukaryotic large subunit ribosomal RNA
Source: RNAcentral
CCCGCUGAACUUAAGCAUAUCAAUAAGCGGAGGAAAAGAAACUAACAAGGAUUCCUCUAGUAGCGGCGAGCGAAGCGGGAAGAGCUCAAAUUUAAAAUCUAGCGUCCUCAGGGCGUUCGAGUUGUAAUCUACAGACGCGUUUUCUGCGCUGGACUGUGUCCAAGUCCCUUGGAACAGGGCGUCAUAGAGGGUGAGAAUCCCGUCUUUGACACGGACUACCAAUGCUUUGUGAUGCGCUCUCAAAGAGUCGAGUUGUUUGGGAAUGCAGCUCAAAAUGGGUGGUAAAUUCCAUCUAAAGCUAAAUAUAGGCGAGAGACCGAUAGCGAACAAGUACCGUGAGGGAAAGAUGAAAAGCACUUUGGAAAGAGAGUUAAACAGUACGUGAAAUUGCUGAAAGGGAAACGCUUGAAGUCAGUCGUGUCUGCCAGGACUCAGCCUUGCUUCUGCUUGGUGUACUUUCUGGUCGGAUGGGCCAACAUCAAUUUCAACCGUUGGAGAAAGGCUUUGGGAAUGUGGCACCCUUGGGUGUGUUAUAGCCCUUUGUUGUAUACAACGGUUGGGAUUGAGGACUGCAGCACGCCUUUAUGGCCGGGGGUUUACCCACGUACGUGCUUAGGAUGUUGGCAUAAUGGCUUUAAGCGACCCGUCUUGAAACACGG